Suricata suricatta (meerkat) is the source of this 2789-nucleotide long non-coding RNA. RefSeq lists it as uncharacterized. The transcript has 2 exons. The record is from RefSeq and is a predicted model, not a curated record. Lineage: Eukaryota; Metazoa; Chordata; Mammalia; Carnivora; Herpestidae.
CGUAUUCUUUUUAAUUAUGCUUAGAAUUUCAGUGAAUUAACAGUUUUUCUACAGUUUGCCAUUUAAAUUCUUCCUGGUUUUUAUUACUAUUAAAAAUAACGACUUAUAAAAGAUCUCUGUGUAUACAAGGACACGGACUCUCACAGUGCUGUUUCAGGUGUAAAGCUGCUUGGUGCUGAAUAUAUUUAAGCCUGGACAGAUGAUGUUUUUCCAUUUAAAAACAGUGGAGGCUGCAAAUGAGCAGCUAGAGCGGAUGACAGUUUUGAGCUGCCCCACGGAACUCUGGUGAGUGAAGGAAUUGUAUACUAUCAGUUAUAAAAGUUCUUCCAGCCUUGACAAGUUAAUUCUGCCUCACACGCAUCUACUCAAGUUGCUGCAAAGUGUACCUUUUGUUCAUGAACAGACUUUCUCCCCACCAGACCUGUAUUAUCUUUGCUCACUACCUCAGCAAGAGAUUUCCUGACCAAAGUUUCCGAGAAGACCAGGGAAGAAUUUAUAUCAGCGCGUGACCUUUGAACUCAACAUCUCAGCUGUUUACCACUUUCUAAAGAAUUUUCACAGUGCCUCUGCAAACCAGGUCAUCAAGAGGAGUCCGCUAACAAUACGUCAGACCCACGGAGGAGCUGGACAAAGCGCUUGAAGGGUACAAGCCGCCGCCAAGAGUGUUCUCAACGCUGAACUACAGGAACCUGAUGGGCACGAUGUUGAGCACCGUGGCCUCCAGCUCAGGCGGAAGUGGUGCACCUGGGUGGCUGCCUACUGCUCCCUCAGCAGUUUGGCCAACUUCCGGAGCUCUGAGGACACUAAGCGGAGGAGGAGUAUCUUCGUGCGCCCCACCUCUGCCAUGGUGAUGUCCUAGCUGCAGAACCCCCGGUGCAAGAAACACCCCCCUACCCACCCCAGGCGAUGUCAGUGUAGGACCACUCUAUCUAUCUUCCCCCAGGCCUAGCCCCUGGCUGCUCAGCCUCCUGCCCUCAGCUGCUCUUCUGGGCCUACUUGAGUGACGUAGUCACAGUGCCGGAAGCUAGGUGGAGGGAACCUGAGGCUUUCUUUCCUUGGGAUUCCAUUUCUGCUGGGCAGAAGGAAAUACCCUAGGCCUACCCCUCCCCCCUGACUUCUUCACCCUGCCUGCCUGGCAGAUAUGAUAUCCCUGUCUCUAGGUGUAUCCACUCCUCUUUUUUUAAAAGAUUUUUUUAAUGCUUAUUUAUUUUAAAGAGAGGAGGAGGGGCAGAGAGAGGGAGACAGAGGACCUGAGGCAGGCCCUGUGCUGACACCAGGAAGUGCCUCACAGGGUUUGAACUGAGAAACAUUGAGAUCAUGACUUGAGCUGAAGUCCGAUCCUCAACCGACUGAGCCAUGCAGGUGCCCCUCCACUCAUUUAUUUAUUCAGACUAGUUAAUGAUGAAGUUUUGCAUUCUGGCAAAAAGCCAAAAACCAAAAAACAAAACUAAACUUACAGAAAAUGUGCAGGAAUAGUAUAGAUAAUACCCUUAUACACUUUACUCAGAUUCUCUAAUUUUAAAAUAUUUUUUCUCGUUCGCUUUAUUCUCCAUUCCCCGCCCCCUCCCUUUCAGAAUAGUCUCUAAAGAGGCACUUGAAUGUGUCCAUAUGACCACACGCUAGCCAAGGGGAAGUGAGCAACAGUGAGAUGUACAAUUUCAGAGAUGCUGAAGAGUGAACACAUGAGUCCCCUUUCAGCCCCCCUUGCAGCCUGGAAUGUGUGCCGUUCUGGCCCAGGUGGAUGGCAGCAAUUCCAGAUGGAUAGAAGAACAAAAAUAGAGAAGGUGCUUGGGUCCCUGACUUGAAUACUCACGCACAGAUUGUUGGUUGAAAAAGAAAAAAAAAUGCUGUCUAUGUUAUCCCCAAGUAUUCAGUUUCUAUUAGAAUAUCCCCAAGUAUUCAGUUUCUAUUAUGAUUAAAGCUCCAUGAUAAGUGACACUUGAGCAUCUUAAGCAUUAUCAGUAUGCAUUCUGGCCCUCCACUGCUGAGCUCAGCCAUUCAUCUGCUGUGUGACUUUGGGGAAGUUAUUCAAUGUCCUUCAGCCCUCUCGGGUUUGACAUGAGUACCUAACUCAUAAAGUCAUUUUAAUGAUGAGCAGACUUAAAGUGCUCAGAGCAGGGCUGGUGUGCAGCAAGUAUAAGUGUUAACUAUUCUUACUACUUGCAGAUACUUGAGAGGUGGGUAUUAUCUUGAACACUUUAUAGACGAAGAACUGGAGAUUCAGAAAAGCUAACUGAUUUGCCCAAGGUUAUGUAAUUAAUAAAUAGUGGAGCUAGGAUUUAGACUUCUCUUACUCCCACGCCUGUGCUUUCCACUUCUAUACAUUUUCAUCCUAUAAUUUUAGUAGUCUAACACAUUAGAGUGGUCAUCUUAAUGAAAAUCAACAUUUUGCCAGCCUUUCUGAUUUUCUGAUUUAGUGUUGCUUUUAUUUGGAUUAGGUAGGGAUGGGCGCUAAAGUUAACAGAAGCUCCGUAUGUCCUGGGUCUUCCCUAACAGGUGUUAGCUCAGACUUGUAUGAGUUAAAGAUUUCAAUAAUAUUACAAACUGGUCGGUAUAUUUUUUUGGUAAGACCUCUAAUGUAAACUUGUAUAAUACUUUGACCUAUGCAUGAAUGCAGACAAACACUUGAUAGGUUCUGAAGCAUCUUAAAAUGUAGUUAACUGUAACUCUGACUUUAAAGUGCUUGAGGGCUCUUAAGCAUCUCUGUGGGUACUUUCAGAGAUCCCCUGGAAACUGAAAUCCUUCUUUCUGAGCUUUAGAAUGGAAUAAAAUCAGGUGUUGGUAAUAUG